CUCUAGACUUAAAUUUCUUAUUGAAUAAGGAUUAGAUCAAGUCAAUCAUUAACCUUGAACCUAACCUAAUUUCAUUUGGAUUUGGGUUUAAGAGGCACCACAUUGGAUGCCCCAAGAGGAUUAGAUCAAGCCAAUUAGGAGGUGCAAAGCCUUCCUUAUUUUUCUUUCUAGAAACUUCCUAUUUUGGUGUGGAAUAAAAAGUAGGAUGAGUGGGGCGCACGCUACCUUUGGAUGAGAUCUAGAGGGGGUGCACGCGUCCUCUUCUUUUGGAAAGUUCCAGGGGUGCACGCCCUUUGAAAUUACCAUGGAGAACGAGAGGGGCGCGCACCUCUCUCUCUUAUUUGCAUGGAGAGAAAGAGAGAGGGCAUGUGCCCCCUCUCUUGUGUACAUGAGAUGAGUUAGAGGGGCACCAAAGGUUGGCGCCCCUUUUGCUUUCCUUGUUGGGUGUGGGCCUUUCCAAUUGGGCUUGAUUUUCUUGAGAAGAAAAUCAUCAAAAGGAGAAAGAGACCUUAUG
This 514-nucleotide long non-coding RNA is filed under the name Elaeis guineensis (African oil palm). Its description in RNAcentral is "long non-coding RNA (EGUI_LNC020782)". The record is from RNAcentral. Lineage: Eukaryota; Viridiplantae; Streptophyta; Magnoliopsida; Arecales; Arecaceae.